Molecule: long non-coding RNA, 21476 nt
Filed under: Pomacea canaliculata
Lineage: Eukaryota; Metazoa; Mollusca; Gastropoda; Architaenioglossa; Ampullariidae
Description: uncharacterized LOC112569387
Source: RNAcentral
GCACGUCAGCUUCCAUUUUCAUCCAUGGCGUGAAAGAGGUAGGACAUCAUCUCCACGCGAUCGCGAUUCGCACUGAAGGAAAAUGAUUAUUUUUCUUUUUAUUUCAAGCCGUAGCACCUCCACAUGGGCGCAGGCUAGCUACGUUAACUCGUAGCGGUCGCUAUGCCACUUCUCCGGCAAGAUUUGCAACACAGUGAACCUUGAAGAGCACGAGUAACAGUUUGGCAAUGCAGUCUCUGGUGCAUAAAGCAGCUAAUGCCAGUGAUGCUGUAGUACAGGUUAAUCCACAAGGGAUCAGUACCGCAUCCAGCAUCGAUCCACACUACCCUGCUCUACUAUGUAAUCUCAACUGAGGAGAAUUACAAGUUUUGACGUCUUCCUCUAGUAUCCCGGUCCUAGUUUGCAGUCUUGGGCGCAGCGAGGAUGUUUGGAAGGUUUCAUCCUUUUCAGUGACAACCUAAGUCAAGGGAACUUGUUAAGUAGAUAAAACCAAUUGCUACUAAAAUGGUUGACCAGAGGCUUUAGAGCAGGCACAUUGGACAGUUCAUGAUGUCAGCCAUAAUGACAGUUAUCUGGACCUUCAGCCAUAAGUUGCUGUGGACACGCAAACACUAAGUAAUGCAGUGUCAAGUUCUGUCACUUUGCGUGAAUGAAAAAGUGAGCUUUUAUUAACUUGCCUGCUUAUGCUUAGCUUUAUGGACUGGAUCAGUGUUUCUAAAUGACACAGGCUCAAUUAUUAACAUUCUAGAUGCCCUUUAAAGGGUGGUCUGUUACUGCAAGGACUUGCUUAAAAGCAUCACUUGACGACUUGAUAUAUUUUAUUAUGCUGAAUUUUUUCCUUGUGCAUGUGACAUUUGUUAUUAGUGUUUAACAUGCAAGGAUGCCAGAUGAGCCUUUUUCAUUAGGUUGCGUUGAACAAAAUUUCAGUGUGUUCCGUUAAACAACCUAUGUUGUCACAAAAUACCUUUGUUGUAACCUGUUUGUAGACUGCCAAUUGUUCUUAACCAUUGCAUAUUAGGGACAGACACGCCCCCCCCCCCAAAAAAAAAAAAGUAUCUGUGAGUUAACACAUAUUUUUAACAUAACUAAUUAAAUAUUGUUUACUUUUAGUUAAGUCAACAUGGUUGUGUUGACCAGGCUGCAAACAGAUUUACAGUAAUUGAAAAAUGGUGUUUGUUAAUCUCUAUGCUACACAAUUAUAGGCUUAGAUAACAAGUGGCUCAAUCUGACACUCUGCUCAUCUUUCUUAGUCAGCAGUGUCAGAUAAUUGUGUGCAUAGCAACAUAGCUCUUUCAUUAAAGAAAUAAAUUCAAAAAACCUGUAUUGAAAGCACAAACUGCAUAAUCAACUAAACCUUCCCUUCUCAAGCCCAUGAAAGCAGUCUUGGGGCAUCUGGACCAUAUCAUUGAAUUUAAACAUUCAUUAUUAUUCUGUGUACCCAGAGGACGCAUCCUUCUAAGCAGGCUAGACACACUCUCAUUGUUUGCCAAUGCCCUUUGGCUAAAUCCACAUAGCUGCUCUUUUUUGGGCACUGAUGAUGUUGGGGUUGAUUGUCUGCCACAAACCUGAUCAGAUUGCAUUCCUCAUUUUCAGUAUUAGGGGUUUUUCUCUAGACUUACUUGUCUCUUAAAAAAAUUUAUCACAUUUUUGAUUACUAUCGUUGGGACUCGUUUUUCUAUUGUUUAAGUGCGUUCGGAAAAGGGCAUGGUGAUGUGGGUUCACAAUCUUCAUUAGCUUCACCCUCACUUUCUUUCGUUUUUGAGACGAUGAUUUGAACCGUGCUGUCCACGACAUCUACAAUGUCAGAAACUACUCUUACCCAAUUUUGUAUCUGUUCUUUGCCCAAAUUUGAAGGGGUCCCCAUUGACAAAAAUUGAACUUUUAAUGCAUAUUGUUCAUAAUUUUUUGCAAUAGCAAAAGCCCUGGACUUGCAAUCUUCCAGGGCAGGAAGAUUUAGUGCGUUUCUCAAACCUGGCGAUGAAGCUUGGUUUCACUGAAAAAUCACUAAGGUUAUUCCACCAUUCAUUUAGAAAAUCAUCUGGAGAUGCAGGAAUAUCCUCAGGCUCCUUUUUUCCAAUCAAACCAGUGGCAUGUUCUAUCUGUCAGAUUGAAGCCAUAAAGUUGACACUGGCGGUUUCAAGAUCACAGUCACUUUAGAAUUAAUGAUAUAAUGUUUUCAUAUAGGUUUGCAAAGGAUGAAAAAUUAAUCAAAUUCAACUCAACAUUCUUAAACAAUAAUGCUUAACCAGUAAUAAUGGUCACAAAAAUUGCAUAAAAACUGAAUAAAACCAAGUAAUGUCCCCACCCCCUUGAGAACAAAUAUUUUGACUAAAGAGGAAUCACAAAAAAAAUCAGUCUUGAAUGGGAUCAGUACACAUUUUUUUUUCACAUUAGUGAGGGUUACUGUUUCUAGUACACCCACAAAAACAGACACUAUAUAUAUAUUUAACUGAUGAAUCCAGUGGGUAAGUUAAAAGGUUGCUCUGUAUAGGAUAAUGUUCAAAAGAACAAUAUUUUUUUUUAUCAAACAGACCCUUUGACCUGAAUCCAAUUUUUGUCAUUUGAAAUGGGAAAGAAAAUUGUCUGACUGAAUUUGUUAAUACUGCGCUGCAUCACAAAAGUUGAGUGGAAGAAGCCCCAUUUUUGACUUUAUUAUUAUUUUGUGUACCCCUAUGAAGCAUCCUUUUAAGCAGGUAUUCAUCUGCAAAUUUUCUAUACACGGGGAUCAGUUGAUGAGCUACCUGUGUGGUCAGAUAGGUUGAAGAAGGAUGCUCUAUAUGGCUAGGCACUUUCUCAUUGUUUGCCAAAGUGCUAUGGAAAAAACACCAGCUGUUUUUCCCUUUUAGGCAUUAGCGAUGUUAGUGUUCAUUGUCUGUAGACAUUGAAUGCCGCAAACUUGCCCAGAUUGCAUUCCUUAUAUUUUCAGUGCUAGAAGUAUUCUCUACAAUAGCUUUUUUCUGUAAAAGAUCUGUAACUUAUGUCAUUUCGCCUGCGGGAGGUGACCCAAGCCACCCAACCCUUCUUCCUUAGCCAGUUUGUGCAAAGUUGUCCCCAGUCUCUUAAGAGUGUGAUUAACAGAUGAUCUAGCUUGUCUACUUUUUGUUCAUAAUCUGGGUGUGGGUUUAGAUCACAAACUGCCUUUUAAUGCUGAGGAAAGCGUCUCUAUAUAUCUUCAACCAAAUUUAUUUACAGACCGUCCACAAAAUUUUGGCUGCCUCUGACUCGUAGCUUGCUUGUAUGAGAAUGAUUUCCCUCUCUUUUCCAAAUAGCUACUUCAGCUGCUGGUAGCCCGCAAGUUUACACGCAUGAAAUUGCUUUGACAAAACACAAAAAUCAAAGAGACCUGUUAAGAAUAUCUAUACAAUACCUGAAAAGUCAAUAUGGCUAUGCCUGGUAUGCCCAUAAUAAUGGAAAAGGUUUGCUACGCAGCAUGGCUUCUUCCCGUUUCCUGACUAAAAAGUGUCAUUUGUUGGUUCACUUCAAAGGGCUCUUUUGGGCUUUCUCUGCCUUUGACGCGUGGUGAUGAGGUACCAAAGCGUUGAUGAGAACAUUUUCCACACUUUGAAUACAAACUUUGAACAGAAGCCCAAAUUCUCACCUUACAAAUACUUUGGAAAAGCCGCUUCUCAUUGCAUUCCAGGCAAGACACAUCUGCUAGAGGUUUGUUCAGCUCACACACAUUUACAAUUAAUUAAUUAAUAAAUAAUAUAUUUACUUUAGUGUAUACAUAAGUUAUAUAAAAGUUCAGUAUUGUACUUGCAGUUCUCAUCUGUGCUUGAACCUGGUCCAGGUCUUUUUCUCUGGGUCUGCAAAUAAUUAAAAAAAUUCUUAAUUAAUGUGUCUAGGCAUGCAUAUGUGUGUGUGGGUACAUUAAAUUAACUUAACCUGAUUCUAAAGAAAGAUUGUUGCACUCGGCUUGUACUUUGAACUCACCAGAAUUAAAAAAGUUCAAUAACAAAUGAACAAUCAACAAAUAAGAAAAUUAAACAAUCGACAAUUAAACAAUUGAGCUUAGUCGCUAAUUAGUCACGUUUUCGAACGUUAGUGCUGUUCGUUAUUGUUGUGACACAAAUUCAUGCAUAGGUCGUACAGUCCAUAUGCAAAAUCUUCUAUCUUCAGUAUUUUAACCUCACGACCGGAACGUGUUCGAGUAGUUAGUGUUGGAGACCACACUGGGGUUGUGGAGCCAAGAAAGGGAUUGGAUCCUGCCGGACUUUCAGACUCCAUUUGUGGUGUGAUAAGUUGUCGCCUGCAGGACGUCGUGGGCUGAACAGCUGCAGGGUUCUGGAGGUCAGUUGUGGGUGGAGGUGCAGCAAAGUCAGAUGGAGUGGGAAUAGGGACAUGAUCAGCAGAUGGCAGCACUUUCUUCAAGUGCACUCGGUUGCGACGGUAUGUGGUGUCUCUGGAUUCAACCUUGUAUGACCUUUGAUCAAGUUGUUUAGUAAUGGUUCCACUGGUCCAUUUCUUACAACCUUGAAUGUACGGCCUCAUCAUCACAGUAUCACCUUCAUGUAGGACUGGCAGAUCUUUUGCAUCAGUGUUCCGCUGCUUUUCUCUGCUUCUUGUGAAGUUCUUCUUUGUGUUUGUCAGGCUCAGUUGUCCUUGGCUGCAGCAAAUUCUUGGUAGCAGGCAAGAGGGUCCUGGUUCUCCGGUUCAGGAAAAGACUACGCUGGACUUGUCCCGGUUUGGUUCGGUGUGUUGGGGGGGUUAAAGGGAAGUAAUUGUUUGAGGAACAAGUCCUAAAGGUUUCUGUUUUUUUCUCCUUUGUGUAUUCUUUCAUUUACAAGUUUUACAUGUCUUUAAAAAAAUACAACAAUGCAUCCAUCACAGAAGGUUGAUGCGCAAGCCUUAAAAGAAGUAGUUUCAUCCCCCACCGAUGGGGUAAGCGCCGAGAAUGUAUUAAACAGUACACAAUCCUCGAAGUAAAGAUAAAAAAAUCAAUACCUGUUAUGCCCAGACCACAAGCGAUUUCUGUUAAGGCAUGUUUUGCCUCAUUGCGUUUCUUAUUUUCUGCACGGGCUGUGUCAGACAGAAGAGGGUAAUUCUCCAACCAUUUGUCACAGGAGUCACAUCCAAUCAUUGUCAUCUGUGGAUCGUUGGGUUGUCUGCAGAUGCAGAACACUUCCUCCUACAGCUGAUCUUGCAGUUCCUUACACAGUCGUGAUGUAGAUGUUGUAACGAUUAGGCCCUGCAAAGUUUUGUAAUCACAAAAAUUAACAAAACAAAUACUGUGCAAAGAUCAGGAAUAUCAAAACAAAUUAUUUAACAUAUAUAUAUAUUAACAUAUACAUAUUAACCGCGGGCCGUAUGUUGCCCACCCCUGCCAUAGGGCAUGCUGUCACUCACUUUUUUAUAAGUGUUAGUGUACCCAUCACCAACAAACCCUGUGUAUCUGAGUUUGUACUGCUCAACUGAUCUUUUAAAAAUGUCACAUGUACCGCUUGCCUCCAUCAACCCACUAAAACCUUCAUGUGUUAGUGUGAAGUCUGCGGCAUGAGGCGCUGCCCAUGCACAAUAUUUGUCAGAGUUGGGGUCUUGUUUUUUCCAAGAAUCACAUGAUUUACAGACUUUGCUUUUUGCUUGUGUGUCAAUAACCUUUCCAUUUUUCAUGCCAAUAGUUGUCACAACACCUACCUGGGAUGAGAAGCCUACAGUCAUCCACGUCCCAUCACUUAAAACAUGAAUGUCUCUGUUUUCGUUACCUUCUACUUCUUCUGCCUGUUCAUACUCUUGUGCUACAGCUGCUUGCAUGCUGAUAUUUUGUACAGUGGUACAUGCUUUAUUAUAAGUUGUCUUAUGAUAGAACCGAUGGCCACUCUGCUAGCACAUUAUGAUAUAGGUCGUCAUGUGCUAGCAAAUGGAUCAGGGCAUCUAGUCGCAUCUCGAAGUAGUAUUCUACACCAAUGUGUAAAAGUACUUUCACCUGUAAAUUAAACUCAUUUUCUCAAACAAUUGAGUGCUCUAAUACUGUACAUCUCAUGCCCCAAGACAGUAGAAAGAUUAACUGCUGUGCUCAUACUUGCUAUAGCAGUUUCUUAGCUUAUCCUGCAUCUACUUGUAAAGGAAAAGGCAGUUUUUUCCCAGCAUAUUCUGUGCUGACUUCAUGGGUUACAAAAACAAGAACAAUGCCUGUCAGGCUGGCUGCAUUUGCCCUGUAGCAUGACACUUUUAAUAAAAAUAUAAAAGUCCUUUAUCUGAUUGCAAGGAUUUUAUAGAUUUUCCCAGGUAUACAAAUAUUGACACUCUCUUACCAUAUGCUUCAUUGAAGAUUUUCUGCACACAAUGGCGCAGAUACUUCAAAUCUGAUACAACCGAUGGCCUCUCUGCUAGCACAUUCCUAUAAAGGUCAUCAUGUGCUAGCAAAUGGCUCUGGCCAUCUAGUUGCAUCUCGAAGUAAUAUUCUACACCAAUGUGUAGAAGUACUUUCCCUGCAAAUUAAAUUAUUCCAUUGUACUUUCACUAUCAGAUUGCAAAUAAACGUACAGUGCACCUCUAUACAUCUAAUACUUAUCAGUUUAUAAUUAAAGGGGAAGAGAAAUUUUAUACAUGUUAUGCCAGUGUCAAAGGGAUGUGGUGAACACUUACCACCUUCUUCAGCUGCUCCAUUAGCUGCUUCAAAUACUUCUUUUUUUCCUCAAGAGUAAUUGGAAGAGCUGGGGUUGCAGCCUCCCUUGCCAGUUUCUGUUUUUCAAGAACCGACAGAGCGGCAUAUUCCGCCCUGCCUCUCUUGAGAAACAUUGCAUUACCUGUAAAGAAAUAAAAAUAGUCAUUUGAAAAAACUUACACAUCAAUCAUCCAAGCCAUUAGACUAUUUUGAUUUUGGGAUGGAUGGUGGCUCAGGGAAAUCGCUUGGUUUUUAACAAUCCGUGUAGGUUAAAGGUCACAGUGGUAUUCUUGUGCUCUUGCUAAAAAAAUGGGAUGCUUACUUUCACCCUCCUUCCUUUGCAGGUGCUUCUGAAACAACGUUAAUGCCGUGCUUCUUUUGAAGCCCCAAACAGCUUUCUGAAACCAAGUUUUAAAAGAAAUAUGUUAAUAUUCCGUCACUUUUCACAUUAUCACACAAGUCAGAAGUAAAAUAUUUGCCCGUAAGAGUAAGGAGUUUCAUGCUUAAAGUGAAACCAAUUUAUAUUUACUUACAUUUCCUAUUUUCGCAUCCAUUUUACGCAGGCAAAUUCUCGCGCCAAAAGAGUCUACUAAGAGUUACAGUCUUUGGUAUAGAGCAGAUCAAAAAGUUAAAUUGUGUGAUUGAAACAUAAUCCGAUGAAGCCUAAACUGUGUAUGCUAUUGAAUUGCUAAUGAUGAAAUAAAUGCAUUUUGCCUUUUUUGAAAGAGAUUUUAUUAAAAUAUAUUCUCGCAAAUUCCUUUUUUUUAAUACUUUAUAUAUAUAAAUUUAUAUAUAUACUUACACGCAUCCAUGGGCAGUUUGAAAGAUAACGUAAACAAAAUUAAUUGGCGAUGUCUUUGCCAAAAGCGUCUACUAAGAGUUACAGUCCUUGGUACAAAGCAGUUCAAAAAGUUAAAUUCAUCACAAUGAUGAAGCAAAUAAUGGCACUAACGAAGCCAAAAAAAGUUGGUAGAUGUAUUUCCUCGCAACCUUUCUGUUUCUUUUUGAGACACUACAAGAUCAUCAGCCAUCCAUUCAUUCCAUUACUAGUACCAUCAUUAUCACAGCAAACAAAGCAUGCUAAGGAAAUAGUACACAAAAUAGUUAACAAUAUGCAUCAUCGAACAAAAAUAUAAUAAAACAACAGAAACAGCAACCUUUGUAUUAACCACUAUACAUCAUAGAAACAACAUAACAAAAAACAAUACCCGAUAAGAGCCUAAUUUUGAAUGCAUUUCAAAAUGUAAAAACAAAUGUUGAGGUUACAAUUAUGCAGGAGGAGGGAGUAAGGAAAAAGAGAUACGUCCAACAAUCUUACCCAGUCAAAAAUCUCGAUAGAUAUUGCCAAAACCUUUUUCAUAUGCUGUCUAGUCCCUGUAGAACUCAGCUGUGCCAUUGCGACGUCUGGAAAACCUGCUCAUCACACAUGCUCACAGUUUGCUACCACGGUCAAAUGCUAUGAACAUCUAAUUCUGUUGACAAACUAGCUGCAGAUGUUAAGUAAAUUGCAGAUCAGGACAAAAAGCUCAGUCAGCAGCCUGAUAAAUGUAGUUUGCUCCAUGUUCCAUGUAGAGGUCCGAAGCGGUCCAGUGGCGCAACGGUUAGCGCCUGUCACCAAUACAGUGAAGGUUGGCUGCCCAGAGUUCAUUUCUCGUCUCAGGCAGGCUGUUGUUUCUCUGCACGUGGCAUCUGUUUACAGGGCUGGCUGCUUGCCGUAAUAUGGCCUUAGUUGCUGGCAUGGCAUAAAACACCAAUCCCCCCCAUGUAGAGGUCCAUAUUAUGCAGUUCAAGUGCUUCGACCGGAGAAGUUGCCCACUCCCUGGGUUAAAGGAUGCGAAUGCAAACAAACAACACAUGCACACCAACACACUAAAUGUAGGCCUGUCUAGAAACACCCUCAGCCCACGGAGUCUACCAGCAAGAUAAACAAACUGUUGGAAACCGGUGGACAAGCAUACUCUCCUGCUUCGUGAUGAAAAUUUCGAAAGAUAUCAAAGAAAAAUUAUUCGUGGAUACGAUGAGCUGUAAGUAUGUGACCUUGGGUGUAAGUGGUGUCGCACUUUUGCGAGCGGUAUACAGUGUGCAGGAGAGAUGCUACCUGAGUCGAACACGACCACAUGUACCCAAUCAUACUAACCUUUAUGUAAUAAAAAAAAAUAUAGUAAAACCCUUACAAAAAUAUAUAGUAAAAAUUUAAAAGGUUUAUUUAAUCUCAUACAGGAUCUGUAAAAUCAUUAACAGAUUGCACUGAAGCAUAAAAAUUUACUUACCUGGCACUUUUUUGUCAUGAUUCUGAAAAGUCGAUAUGGCUAUGCCUGAUAUGCCCAUAAUAUUGGAUAAGGUUUGCAACACAGCAUGGCUUCCUCCCGUUUUCUGACUAAAAAGUGUCAUUUGUUGGUUCACUUCAAAGGGCUCUUUUGUGCUUUCUCUGCCUUUGACGCGUGAUGAGUUACCAAAGUGUUGAUGAGAACAUUUUCCACACUUUGAAAAGAAGCCCAAAUUCUCACCUUACAAAUACUUUGGGAAUGCCGCUUCUCAUUGCAUUCCAGGCAAGAUACAUCUGCUAGAGGUUUGUUCAGCUCACACACAUUUACAAUUAUCCGCAUUAAUUAGAAAACAUAGCUGAUUUUGCGAGCAGAAUUGAAAGGUUCAAUUAUCACUGAGCUCUUUAUUGGGAUGUUAAGAAACGAUGAAAUUAUUGAAGAAUACUGUAAAAAUACUGUAAAAUGUUGAAUAUGAAGAAUACAAAGGGUACUGUAAAAUACAGACGGAAACUGUAAAAUUGUUGCCCUGAAAUCAGAACAAGAAUUCACUAAUUAAAUUCUGAAAUCAUUACAUAAAUCCCUAACCCCGACACAUGGGUCUCAAGUAAGACUCGUGCGGUCUCACACGUUUACCUUCCUGCCCCCCUUUGCACAUGUAACAACGCACAUACAUUAUAUCCCGCAUGGGCAUUUUCCCAAACAUAUACAAAAUCUUACUACACAAAAUCUCCUAGAGCAAAUUCCAUCACAUACAUAAACAUCCUUUCUCCCUCAUACAAGAUUUCUAAGGGGUCCCAGGCUAACUCUAAGGGGUACCUUUACAAUGUCAAAAAAUAUCAACAAAAUGGAGAGUCCACUCAUGUCUUGUUAGUGCGUUUCUUUGAAAAUUGGUACAGCCAGUGACGAAAGCAUUUUUGUGCCAAGUCUUUAGACACGCGAAACGCUUCAUGACUCGUGACUACUUAUCAAACUUGUGCCAUCAUUGCCACUUUAAGAGUAUUCAUGCAUUACAAGGCAUCUGCUUUCCGUUUUAGUUUUACUUCUAGAUUGACAAUUGGUUUAACGGAUAUUAAAAGUAUAAAUAGCAUGCAUUUGUCACGACAUUGCCGGUGCCUCUUGUUUUUCGCUCUCUCCAACUCACCAGCGGGUCGGACAAUUGCGCGUUCUUUCGUUCCAAUUGAAGAAUGAUUUGCCUGUACGAGUCUGUCUGUUUACUGAUCAAAAUUACCAACCAAAAAAAAUAGAUCCUAACUAUAAAAGCAAAACGGUCUUUAACACCACAGUUUUUCCUUCAAUCUCCACAUCUACAAAGUACAUCGAACACCUCACACACUAUAAACUCACUGUCUUGGCAGUCGUUUCUCCUUUCACAUUAGUACAUUCGAUCUCUGAUUAGCAAAUCGCAUUGUCUUUUCAAAUGCGAUCACGUCUCCCUUUCCGCUCUCUUUCUUCUUCUUCCACUCGCUAACGUUCUUCCUCUUCUAUCUACUCUCUAACGUCCUCUUCUUCUCUCUAUUCUCCAGCGUCCUUCUUCUUCUAAAUGCCCUCUAACGUCCUUCUGCUUCCAUAUUUCUUCUCAACGUCCCUCUCCCUUACCUCACUAUUUCUUUUUGACGUCACUAUACGUCAUUUGUCACGUUCUAUUUAGAGAACGUCCAUCAUUCGCACACUUUCAUCUACACAUGCGCCCAGUCCUAGCACUCUGACUAGAUCCAUGACAUUAUUUUAAUGUAAAAGUUAAUUGAUUAAUAAAACGAUGAUAAAUGUUAAAAAAGCGAAAUCAAGUUAAGAGCUCAAGACGUCGCACAACGAAGAGCGGCUAUCUUGAUCUUGAUCCAAAUAAAUUUUUAUGCAGUUCUAUACAUCGCAUCGAUUGAACGAUGAACAGGGCAUGGUCAUUUGCCCCAUCAUACUGACCCUUGAGGGACAAGGUGAGCCUGAGAGGGACAGUGUACCGGCAUCUUUUUCUCCAUUGGCCAGUGUCAGGCGACAGAAGAAAAUUUGCAAGUUUUGCAAAAAAAAAUAAGAAAACCAUUUACGAACAUCAUCCAUUCUUGCAUCGCUCAUCACUUUAGCAUUGACUCAUUAAGUGUCAUGCAGCGGUCUGGUGGCGCAACGGUUAGCACUGUUAGCGCCUGUCACAAAUACAGUGAAGGUUGGCUGCCCUGAGUUCAUUUCUCGUCUCGGGCACGCUGAUCUUUCUCUGCACGUGGCAUCUGUUUACAGGGCUGGCUGCUUGCCGUAAUAUAGCCUUAGCUGCUGACACGGCGUAAAACACCAAUUCCCCCCCCCCCCCUCAUUAAGUGUCAUGCAGCUUUUGUUUUACUACCAUCUAAAUAAAAUUUUAAAAUGUCAGCAGUGGAACCCUGGACAUGCUGACCAGCCAAGUGCUGAUCUACCAGCGCCAUUUAUCCCUUCGAUCUUUUUCUCCAUUGUCCACUGUCAGCAGUCGGAAGAAUAUUUGCAAGUUAUGCAAAACAAAAUAAGAAAACGUUUGAGUCCUAUACAUUGCAUCGAUUGAACAAGGAACAGGGUAUGGUCAUUUGACCCGUGUUGAGAACAUUAACGUGUCCUCUCUGCUUUGGCAGAGAGGCCCACACCAUCAAAUACUGUCCCUUGAGGCAUUAAAGACUUGUGGGAAAUGACUGGGGGUUGGUGGGUUUGAGUUCAAUCUUUUUCAGUUUUGUGGGCGUUUCGUAACUUGAAGCAGUUGGUUUUAUAUCAUUUCUUGGAAAAGGAUUUUGAGAGAAGUCUGUCAUGUUAAAGUGUAACUUUUCAUUGUAUUAGAAGAUUGCUGUGAUAGUCAUUGAUUUGAUCCUGACAAAAUAGUAAAAACCUUUUUUGUGCGCCGUUUUCCCGAGGCAUUGAUAGUUUUACACCACUUAACUUUAAAAGAGGGUAUUGUUACCUACAUACGACCCAUUGACAAAAACUAGUUUGUCACCAGUAAUACUACAAACUUAUCCAUACAAUUCAUUAAAGAGGUUUUGAAUCUCCUGCCGCAGGAAUUGCCCAUUCCUCCUUCUCCCCUUUUUGUUGGCCUUGGCCCUGUUGUAAUUUUAUAAUAAAAAGUCCAGCCCAGCUGCUUUAUGAAGUCACUCUGGAAACUUGUAUAAGAGCUGCCAUUUAAAUUUGUUUUUGAAACAUUUAUCUGGGCUCAAUCCUUUUUUAGGAUAAACCCUUGGCUUUUCUUUUUAUAGUUUUCUUUCUCUCCAGGUCCCAUGCUUCGCCAUUCCUUAUGCUAAAGUUUGCAUCCUAGACUUAGUACUCAUGCGUCUUGACUAUAUUUCAACCAUUUCUGAUUCAGGAGUUUGGGUGAAGCGAAAUUGUGCAAUUUUUCAGUAUGAUGAUCUGUUUAAAGUACAUCCUUAAUAUAUUUUCUACAUUUGCUCUGAUUCUCAUUCUCAAAUAAUAGUGAGAUGAGACAUGUUCGUCAGAGUUAAAAGGUUUCAGAUAAAACAGCUCAUGACAUGACUGUAACACUUGGUGAUCACAUUGCAUUGUGUUUCUUAAAAGAUGUAGUCCAUUCCCUUAUUUCCUGAAACUUGCAUAUACUUUUUUUCAGGAAUUUUUUUCAAGACACUAAUUGUUAUUUUACAUUUGAAAGUUGAUUCUGAUUGUAAAUAUCGUUACGAGCAAAACACAACAUCAACUAUAGAAUUAUAUGAACUAUGCAUUCAAAAUAGUUUAUGCAUUACCAAUCCAGACUUGGCUGUCAUGAAAGUAUGCACACUACUUUUCUUUCUACCAUGUCUUCUGUUAACACGCACCUAUCCGUUAUCCUUUAAAUUUUCCUGCAAUCUCAAUUUGUCAUUUUCUCAAAUCCACGUACAUGGCUCAAGCAUCUACACGUGCACCGUAGUAAGCAUCAAACCAUUUUUCAUCAGCAUGUGUCUGUCGAAUUUAUGCCGUAUAAUAAUGUAAGCAACACUUUCUUACGUUGAAUGUGAGAAAACAGGUGCAUCUACUUGUAACAGGGUAAGAUUCGGGCUUUUCCCCAAUCUCUCCUCAACAAUACAAAAGACAACGCUCUCGUGGGUUCUAGAUUAUAUUUCUGAUGCCAGUCGAUGCUGCUGGCUCUGGCGAAUCUCGAUCCAACACACUUUCUGACCUCGCACCAACUGCACCACACACCUCUGCUCUGUCUCCUUAUAUGUGUAACCAAGUGGUGAGGGGAGUUGAACAAUGACCACAACAGUCCAGCACUCAGAAAGGUAGGAACCUGUCAGCAGUUGCACAACUCUUUAAUGCAGGCUAGAUCCACAGUCACGGCUGCGUCACUUGUCUUGCGCUUUCACUUCAAAAUUUCUAAAGGCCUCCAACACUCACUUCUCUUCUUCUGUCAGUUCCAUCGUCUCUGGCGGCACUAAGCUGACUUGAUAAGUUAUCAGUUUCGCCCAGUACCCCACAUAGGGCGCCAAAAAUGUGAGAUAUAUGGUAGUGCAGCACAACACAAUUCAUUUCACAGACAUGUUUUUUUGGCACAGUUCAUUUCAAAUACAUAAAUAUAUUUGAUAGCACAUUUAAUGUCACAGAUCUUUUCAUUGUACACCAACAGUUCUUCACACACAUGCACGCACACACAUACGAACGCACACACACACAAUGUAAAAUAAAGAAUAACGAUGAGAUUAAAUGUCUCCACGGCACGCACCUCCGCCAGCUCUGCAAUUAAGUAUGGAUUCAUGAUCGACAUGAAGUUUGUAUGUUAAAAGUUAUAAAUACCCAUUUUCUUACUCUUCUUUGUCUAAUAAUGAUCCUGUGAUCUAAAACUGAUGAAUGUAUUUCAGUCUUUCCCCACCAAGCUAUGAGCUGGCACAUCCAGUCUUCCUUUCAUCCUUUAUCUCCUUUCCCCAUCUCUCUCUCUUACGGACUAGGUGUUUAGUACUUUGAAGUAAAAAACUGUUAAUCAGUGCAAGUAGAGCUCAGCCUGUAUUGUCUUUGGACAAACAAAACAGCGAGAGAGAAAAACUCGAUCAACUACUGGUUCGGUCUGUGCACCUGUUGGUCUCCUGCAGGUCAAUCUUCGUCUUGAGCGACGAGGUGGACAUGGCAUCUGAGGCGGAGCUCUGGAGACCUGAGGAGGUCAAUGAGGUACCUGGCGGCGUCCUGCUCAUUAGCCCGUACCUGCACACACCGAUGAAAUGGCAUGUCAUGCACAUGUCCGGAGCACGUGCUACUGUGACUUCCGGCCAUCUCUCGGCACGAGAAGCACACACCUUUCCUCCCUCAGUGUUGUAAAAGUAGCCGUCUGCUGCAAGCCUGUAGAAAAACAGCAUUCAUAAAAAUGGUUAACCAAAGUUAAAUAAAUACUAAUUGAUGCUUCAGAAAUAACAUUGAAGUUUUCAAUGUGUGUACAUGCGCUAUCGCAUGCAAAACCCUGAGACCGACUCACUGAACCCCUAUUGUUCUAUUGAACCCUGGUUAAGAACCACUGCUCUAGAAACUGUCUCCUCCUGCACUAAAGCAAACAAACAUACAUAUUUGCCGACUUUUUUUUUUUUUUUUUUUUUUUCAUGUGAUUCAGCCUUCAGAAGAAUAUUUGCAAGUUUUGCAAAAAAAGGAAGAAAACGUUUGAGUUCUAUACAUCGCAUCGCUUGCACAAUGAACAGGGCAUGGUCAUUUGCCCCAUGUUGAGAACAUUCACGUGUCCUCUCUGCUUUGCCACAGCAAAGAGAGGGCCCACACCAUGAAAUACUGUCCUUUGAAGGACAAGGUGAUCCUCCUUGAGGCAAGGAGGGCGUUGAUUGAAACAAAAUUUUCAGAACAUCUUUGGUGCGUGCAUUCUUGAAAGUGUUUUAAUCAUGGAAUCGUUAAACAGUACACAAUCCUCAAAGUAAAGAUAAGAAAAAAAAUCAAAUACAGCAAGCAAUUUCAGUUAAGGCAUGUUUUGCCUCAUUGCGGUUCUUAUUUUCUGCAUGGGCUGUGUCAAACAGACAGGAAAUUUCUCCAACCAUUUGUCACAAGCAACCAUUACAAUCUGUGGAUCGUUUGUUGUCUGCAGAUUCAGAGCACUUCCUCCUACAUUUUCCCUUGCAGUUCCUUACCAAUGAUCUUUCUAGGGCCAAGGUUGCACACGAAAUGAUUGAUAAAUUCCAGAAGCCAGACAAUUUGAAAGGAGAGACAACAUAAACUCAUCGUAAUAUUAUGCUCCUCUGGCACAUGACAAGUGCAAACAGCACACGUUACAGAUCCCUGCUGUUUCUGUACAUUAACAAAUUUAAUUGAAAUGUACUGCGCAUCUGUAAACAAAAGCCAGCCUAACUGCUUUAGAAAUUUUUCCUUACACUCCCCUCUCACUCUGUAAAAGAAAGAAUCCAUCCUGGUUGAGGGCAAUGAAUGGUACUCACCGUAACCCAGUGUACCUACAUGUAAAAUAAGCACAAAUUAUCCUUUUCGCGUUCCCACACGCUGGCAUUCUUGUGAUUGAAAGACAGCCAGGUCCUGUAGGCCAAGUUUUGCAGGAAACUGCUCCUUUAACCACAUUGUGACCAAAUUUCAUGUUUAUAAAUUAAUUAGUUGGCCCAUGUCAUUCAGAACAAAUUGGGUACCCAGUUUUGGGUGAUUCAUCCGCCUUAAUAAAAAAAAUAGUGUACUUACUAUAAUAACAAAGUGCAGCGUAUCUCGGCUUUUUGAGUGUAGAAGACAGCGUGCGACAGGCAGGAGAGUGCAGUGUGAAAUUAAGUGACUAUCGCUAUCUCUAAGGUCCAACUGUCCAAGCUUUCUUUGGUCCAAUGACUCCGAUGGAAAGGGAUGGGAAAAUUAAGUGUCCUGGUCAAACACACAGCGACUUUACCACUGACUGGUCUAUCUCAUAAAAAUGUCAGUCUACACCUCCAAUUGCUCCAAACCCCGACCAUUUAAUUCCCAGUCCAUUCCCUGGAGUCUUCCAGAAACUAUCAUGGUGGGCAUGGGUGGAAGUUGCUGUCAUCUUAGUCACUGGCCUUUAAACUAAAACAGGGCCAACAUAAUUUGCCUCUACCUUGAUUGUGGGGUUCAAGACAUGGAGAAAUUCAAUGAAAACGUGGACAAACUAACACUUAUGUCAUAACUCAUAACUAAGUCUUGUGCCUACUUACUUUUGGACAGCUUGUCAAUGUUUUUGUUACAAUAGGUCAUGCUGUCACUCACUUUUUUAUAAGUGUUAGUGUCCCCACCACCAACAAACUAGGAAUUGUUUUGUGUUGUGUUUCUCAUUUUGAUUUUUAAAUUAUAUUAUAUUUUUAGCGUUUUAAAUUGUCUGUGUUUUGAUUUUAUUAAUUGUCUCGUCUGAAAGGCACUGUAGAGUGCAAGUGACACGGGCCGGAUCUGGCCUGCGAGGCCGUAUGUUGCCUACCCCUGCCAUAGGGCAUGCUGUCACUCACUUUUUAUAAGUGUUAGUGUACCCAUCACCAACAAACCCUGUGUAUCUGAGUUUGUACUGCUCAACUGAUCUUUUAAAAAUGUCACAUGUACCGCUUGCCUCCAUCAACCCACUAAAACCUUCAUGUGUUAGUGUGAAGUAUGCGGCAUGAGGCGCUGCCCAUGCACAGUAUUUGUCAGAGUUGGGGUCUUGUUUUUUCCAAUAAUCACAUGAUUUACAGACUUUGCUUUUUGCUUGUGUAUCAAUAACCUUUCCAUUUUUCAUGCCAAUAGUUGUCACAACACCUACCUGGGAUGAGAAGCCUACAGUCAUCCACGUCCCAUCACUUGAAACAUGAAUGUCUCUGUUUUCAUCACCUUCUACUUCUUCUGCCUGUUCAUACUCUUGUGCUGCUGCUGCUUGCAUGCUGAUCGUAUAGUGGUACAUGCUUUAUGAAUAGUUUUCUGUAUAGCUGUGUAGCUACUCUUACUAAAUGGCUUUGGUAAAUCCAUUACCCUACAAAAAAUCUCUAACUCUCUCUUGUCUGCUCCUAUGCAUCGCAUAGCAAAAGCAGCCUGCCUGAUGCUUUGCCUACAGACGUCUGAGGUGAGGAUGAGAAAGCAGGCUGCAUAUUACAGUUUCUAUUGCUACAAUAAAAUACAAAUGUACUUGCCAGUCCCUUUCUUUGCAUUUCAAACAACCUGACAGUACGGGGACAGUAACGGCACACCAAGUUCUAUGAAACAGUUUCACUUAGGAUUGCUACAUCUAUUAUUCUAUUUCCUUUUGGAUUUUCAAAAACAAUAUCCUGAGUUGUGCUAUCUUUUUCACUUUCAGAAGUGUCAUUUUCACAAUCUGCUUCUUCAUAUUCCCCCUCUGAACUACAGUCAAACACCAACUCGUACAGAUCUUGUAAUUUCUGUUCUGAUCUAGUGGACAUGUCCACCUGUUCACAAUAACUUUCUGAACUGACAGUUAAAUUGCCUAUAUAACAAAUGUUGCUGAAAGCGCUUCGUAUGCCUUUUCCCACUGUUGCUUUUUCUUUUGAGUACUGGUUACCACAAAAUUUGCGUUUCUUGGGCUUUGAAAGUCUGUACUUACGAUCAUUAGCCAUAGUUACAGUGUCACACAACUGUAGCCACAAUAAUCGGUCCAAAGUUUAAUUAAAAUGUCACUAAAAGCAAUCACAAAGCCAUGCUUUCAACUUGGCGGAGGUGCACGGAAGUAGGGAGUAAUUAUUAUUUAGAAGUUAUAUUGGGAGCGGUUAUUAUUUGUGUGUCAUGUUGCAGGUGACUGAAUGUUAUUUUCCACCAUUUUGGAGCAUUUUGACAUGCCACCCCUACCCUGUGUAGAUGCAAUUAUCUAAAAAAACUACAUAGCUCUGGCAAAAGUUUAACUCACCCUCUGAAAGAGAAAAGAUUUAUGAAUAAAAUGACACAUCUUAAGUUACUGUCAUCGAAAAAAAAAUUUUUUCAACCAUUCUGGGUGAUCCUGCCACCUUAAACGCUACUCCCAAGCAUGCAAAGUAAACAUGGCAGUCAUGUUUUACAGGGUAAAUAAAAUCAGAAGAAACAUGAGGGACCUACAUCAUCUUGUGUGCUGAUUCUCAUUUCAUUCUUAUCCAAUGCUAUUUUUUAAAAAAACGAGAAAGUCAUUUCAAAAUUAUAAAACAUUAGAUCUGAAACAUUUAACAAUUUUUUGCCCUCCCUCCAAGGUCAUUUUGAAUUAAAUUAAUUAAUAAUAUAUUUACUUGAGUGUAUUUAUAAGUUACAAAAAAGUUCUGUAAUGUACUUGCAGUUCUUAUCUUGGCUUGUUCCCGGCACUGGGCUUCUUGUUUGGUUGUUGCUACUUGCAUUAAUGGUUAAUCAGGGUAAUAAUGAACCAAAUGUACCAAAAAGGGGGGAAAGAGAAAAUUCAAAUUCAAAACUAAGCACAAAAAAAAAAUUGUUAAAAGAACACAGAUAAGCACGAAAAAACUACAAAAAAAAAAAAUUAUUCGUGGAUUCUAUGAGCUGUAUUUGAACUUGGGUAUAAGUGGUGUCGCACUUUUAUGAGCAAUAAACAGUGUGCAGGAGAGAGUCGUGCACACUGACCACCUAAGUCAAACACACUGACUCAUGGACCAACCAGCCGCCAUCACCAGAUUCCAUGUCGCACCAUACUCUCAGAGGUUUGUUAGCCAAAGGCCAUUCUCACUAAAACAGGCCUUCGGUAGCAACUCGCCUUACAAAUCCUAGGAUGUAUCAUAUAUGACAAUAUUGCAGACAUAAGGGACUUUUUAUGUACUACUUCUUAACUUACACUUAAACGCAUUGGAUGUAAUAAACGUGCGAAUUUGCCUGAUCCCUUCAGGUUUGUUUUAACAAAGUAGUGAAUCUUGUUUCACAUAAUCAGCAAAGAAAAUAUGAAAGAAAAAAUAUGUUAUUAAAAAUAAAUGCUUUAUUUUUAUUGUACCAAGAACAUUUUCAGAAGGCAUACAAAAGCAGCUAGUGACCUAAGACCUAAACAGGCACCUCCCUUAGGCAUAUAUGAGUCUCCAUGAUUCAAAGUUGUUCUCUAAUAAAAUCCCAAUUAUUUUUUAUUAUAACUAUAACAAAAGUCUGCCAGUGCUGGUAGCUAAAUGGUGUAGACUCCACUCUUGGAACCUGUUCCCUGCCAGCCUUUACAUGAGCCUGUUUUUACACAAUCAUUCCGCUCGUAAGAAAUUGUUAUAAAGGGCGCAGUAAUGUAAGAAACAAACUGACUAUACAUCGUUUAGGGACAAGCUGAGUACUACUAGAAUUCUACUACUUCUCACUUGAAACAAGGCUUGAUUGAAGUUGAAGCCUAUAUGACACAAAAAUCUUCCUAACAAACAAUCACCGUUUAUGUCUGGACAAUCCAUCUUGCUUUGACACAGUAUUGGUCUGACUGUGUUUACACAAACAAAUCACUGCGCUCGCAAGGAAUUGUUAUAAAGGGCGCAGUGGAACUACUUACAAUGAUGUAAACAAUCGGUACAGUGAUAUUCAUGACAGCUUCAAUAGCUAAUCAUACAACAGUCAAGGGCAUACUGUUUAUAUGUGCAUGAAGCACACAGUUUAGACUGCUCUGACACAAGAUGGUCCUGCUUGCUGAUUGCUGUUAUCACUAGCCACCCCCCAAUGCUAGCUCUGUGUCUAAGAGUAUCUGACUGCCAUGUGUACAUAUUCUGAUUCCUCCUCAUCGAUUUCUUCCUCCUUGAUGCAUGCUGCUGUCACGUGCUUGUAUGAAAAAAUAUUUUUAUAAGUUAUAUUAUCUUCAUCUUUCUCUGAAUACAACAUUUUCCUCGGAGUCUGUAGAUUGAGCGUUCUCAUUGUCCCAUUCUUCCACUUCCACUUCCACCUCCAUUUCCUCUUCAGAAUCUGCCAUGUACAUGUCGACCACUUCUCGAGUCGUGUAUCGUCUCGCUGUUUUUCCAGUUGAAAAGAACGGGUUCUCUGGGAAAUUGAUGAUAGUUCAGUCAAGAACAGAGUAGCCUCCUUUACAAGGGAAGUAACCCUAACCUUUACAGACCCUUGCUUGUCAGUCCACUGUGGCAUCCAGUCACAGUUCUGACACCAUCAGUAGUCACUCCCACUAAUUUUUCUCACGGAAGCAAGACCCUCUAUUAUGCCUGAAACUUCUUUGAACAGGUCUUCGCCAGUGGUGUUCCCAUGCAUGCCUCUCAUGGCCGCUAACUCUUUUGUAAUUUCAAAAUUGCUGUUUGUACCACGAAUAAAUACCAAGAGUUGAGCGGUGUCAGAUGAGUCGGUGGACUUGUCAGCGGCAGUAGAAAACAUUGCAAAACAUGCUGCUUUGUCCCUUAGUUUCCAACUCUAUUGCAACAAUCCAACUAAUUAACUAAUCUAUGUUCUACUUAUUGGUUCUUUAUUGAUAAAUUCUUUUAGUGGCAUCUUAUUAGCUUAGGCUACAGGGUUAGGGCUACAUAUCAGUAACUCUUCGUUAGAUAGGGAUAUUUUUGAAUAAUAUGUGUUUGGAAGAGUUGGUUAUAUUAAAGAAUCUCAUUAUUUGGGCAUCUAAAUAGGAAAUGCUCUUCAUCUUCUACGGCAUACGGUAGUUUUUCCACAAGCUGGGCAACCUAAAUGUAAUUCCAUAGAAGCUUCAAACCAUAUUUUAUUCGCAUUAAGUCAAAAGGUUCUUGUUAGGUCUUCCUAGGGCACGCCUGUUCCACCUAUUGUUUAUAAGUGAAAACAAUUUUUCUGACUGUAAAUUAUCUUUAAAUGAUAAGAACCAUUCAUAUUUUGUAUCUUUCUCCAUGUUUGUGUGUCUGUUUUGCUUAAAGGAGCAUAUUAUACAUUCUUUAGAUUCUCAAAGGAACAUGUUUCAUCCCCGCCCCCUGGUUGACCCAUACUAUCCCAAACCCACUUUCUGAAAGCACUUUAUGUUAGAUAUCCAGUUAAGCUUUCCAGACUCAUGCUGCUGGUGAAUCAUUUCAUAAGCUUGUUUACAAAGUCUUGUUAUGGGUAGCUUGAGGAUGUGUAGCCAGAAUUUUAUGCAUUUUGUGUAGUUAUCUAUGUACAGGGUGUAUCUACCAGCUUCAUAUAAAUCAGAUUGGAAGAGUGCAGGGGAACAUCUAAAAAUGCUUAAUUGCAAAUGUAUGUAUUUUUUUCUAUAGGGUUAUUUAUAGAUAAGCCCCAAAUUUCUGCCGCAUUUGUCAAAACUGGUUUGACCUGGGAGUCAAAGAGCUUCCAAAAGAUGGAUAAAUUAUUUGAGUUCAGUUUUCUAAGUGCCCUAAGAAUUUCUAUCAGCCCUUUUUUUUCCUUUCAUACACAACUCAUUGCAUGCUGUUCAUCCUAGUAGAAAAUUAUACUCCCAGAUAUUUGUAGGUAUUUGUUACUUUAGCUUCUAAAUUGUGUUUAAGAAGUGGAGAUGUUAUGUUCAUAUUAAGUUUACUAAUUUCUUCUUAAUGGCCUUAAGAGAACCAUCGAAAGAUACAAAAUCACUUUUUUUAAUAUUUGUGUAAAAAGCUUAACGUGACAAUUGUUAAGAUGUACAACACUGUACUUUCUGCAAAGUUGCUGUCAGAGUUUUAUGCAUUCUUGUAUAUUAUUAGUGGACCAAAUCCUAAGAAGCUAACAAUGGUUACAUUUCAUUUUUAUAUCAUUAUAUGUACAUACUAUUGCUAGUAUGAGCACUUUUGAAAUACUCCUAGGAGUCAAUAAAGUUGUAUUGUAUCUGUAGUGGCUAUUUUUAGUUUGUUACUGCGCAUAUGAACUCUUUUGUGAAAUAAAAUACUUAAGUAGAA